Long non-coding RNA from Felis catus (domestic cat), 2485 nucleotides. RefSeq lists it as uncharacterized. The transcript is spliced from 3 exons. Lineage: Eukaryota; Metazoa; Chordata; Mammalia; Carnivora; Felidae. The record is from RefSeq and is a predicted model, not a curated record.
AUUAAAAAAAAAAUAAAGUCAUCUGACUAAUAUUUAGACAUAGGUCUUAGAGAUCAGUUUCAAGUUUCCAACUAUUUUAAAAAAUACUGUUUUCGCAUAAGUUGGGUGUUGUAGAAAACAGCUCAACAGCACAUGUUACCACAUCUGUUCUUACCUGUUUGGUUUGUUAAGAAAGGGCUUGCCCAGCCUGAAAGCAAAAGAAACAGAAGUAAAGCCUCAAAGAAAAAGAACACAACGAACUCAACCUUUGCUUACAUUGCCCAGGUCAUCUCCAGACCCUUGCUUACACCUGAAGGAAUCUGCUUAAUCUUGCUAGUAGUUUUACGUUUGUUCUUAAAACUUACGAUGGCUUCUGAUGAAAGCUAGAUGACAAUUCUUCUAAAGCAUGUGUCUAUUAUUAGACGUAUUUAGAUUGGUUACAUUAGUCAGCUGUAUGACAUGAGCUCUGCUGCAAUGGAUGAUUUAAUGCCCAUGUUCCUAGUCGGUAGUGGGCUGGUUAAUAGGACCAGCUUUCUGCAUCUUUGGUUCUGAGAGAAGUGACAGAAACUUCCAAGCAUCUGUUUGCUUCAGUUUUAUCUGUCUGCCAACAGGACGCUUACCUAUUCAUUUGCCAAAUAACUAGACUGGUAUUUGUUCCUGGAACGGAAUCACCUCCAUUGCUGAUAUGUCUGUGCACUUGGCGUGUCUAGCUUUCACCUGAGGCAAAGGGCCAAGUCUCUUAAGAAGUUUUACCUGUGUCAAGGCCAAGGGACUGUUGCUCUUUUUGUCUAAGCAGGUCGACUGUUCCCUCAGAAGAUUUUAAACUCACUAGCAGAGAGAAACAUCGGAAUACUUUGGCCUAAUCUUUAUUUUGUUUUCUUGGCUUUGGGGAACGAUAUCAAAACCGUGUUAGACUUUCAGGCCUCUCGAGCUAGUUCCUGAGAUACUUCCAGUGUUUGCUCUCUGACAUACAGACCACAUUUGACUCACAAAUGUUAUUUCUAUGACACGGCAUGUCCUAUUUUUACUUUCAAUAUUUGACAAUCUCAACGUGUUUAAAGAUGAAUAAAUGCACACGUUUCCAAGGCCGGGAAGCAGCCUCUCAAGUUUCCCAGUACCACAUGCGGUGCUAUGCUUAAGAAACCUGCUGUUCUUAAAACAUGUUUGACAAGAGAGUUCGGCCCUGUGGCAUGUAUCCAACUCUGGUUUUUAAGGUCCAGAACUAUCAUUUUAUUCGAUCUCCCAGACAAUUAUUUUCUUUCCCUUUUUAUCUAGGCACCAGAAUAGGCUAAAAGUGAUGAAAAAGUGUGGCCCUGGAUCCUCUGUAAUUUGCCAGAUCAUCAAUAUUCUGAGCAAAUGUCUGGCAAGCAUUCGUCGGGCUGCUUCAGACAAGGAUGAGGAUCUGAAGGCCUACCGCACUUACCCACCUCAAGGCAACACUGGUCUAAGGCUUGAACAUGGCUUCACCCAGGCCAACUUCUGUAUCCUUGGUCACACUAACAGUGACGGCUGAGAAGAUGCAGUUCAAUACUCUGAGUCUUCCUAUCACUCAGCAAGAAUGCCCGGUGGGGCUUGGAAAACAACCUUAUUGCUCGGAUCACAGCCAGGUAGAGGGUGGUCUCCUGGGUGGAACCGUUCCUGCAAGGACAAGGUUUAUCAAGCAUCUACAAAGACAAUUCUCUCUCUCUCUCUUUUUUUCUUUUCUUUUCUUUUUUUAAGAAAGGAAAUGUUGGAGUCCUUGGAUCAAUUUUUCAAUGUCUUUGGAAGCUUUAGGUGUUUGUUUUUCCUAAGUAUAUUCUUUGGAAAGCCUGGAGAGGAAAGAAAAGUGGUCCAAUUGCACACAGAUGGUAAACCCACAGCUCCCAUCAACAGCAGCAAAGAAAUAAUCUUGACCCAAGCAGGCAAACUCUCAAAUAGGAAAUAAAGCCUUGUGAGAAUGAGGAAUGAAAGUCCCCGAGUCAGAAUGAUAGGCUGCUCCCGGGAGACCCACAAAAUGGCACGGAGUCCUGUCCUUCCCCAAGAGAGGCAUUUUAAAAAUGGCAGCAAAGUAGAUAUUGAGCUGGACAAUCAAUCAAGUCAUUGGAUACGUUGUUCAGAUUUUCUGCAGUUUUCCUCACUGGACCAUAAAGUCAUGAAAGGACAUUGCAAAGAACUACAAGAGACUAUAAGUGAAUAUUCAUCUUCUCUUGAGAUAGGGAAAUCCUUUCUAAAUAUGCCAUUAAAAUAGAACAUAAGGAAAAAGAUCAGUGAAUAUGAUAGUGUAAACUAAAAAUGUCUGUAUAUAUAUUUUAAAACACUGUAAAAAAACAUUAAAAGGCAAAUGGAAACUUUGAAUAAUGUUUCCAACACACCUUGCAGACAUGAGAUUUAAAAUCUUAAUAUAUAUGGCACAAAAACAGACACUCAGAUCAAUGGAACAGAAUAGAGAACCCAGCAAUGGACCCACAAACGUAUGGCCAACUAGUCUUUGACAAAGCAGGAAAGAAUAUCCAGUGGAAUAAAGACA